Molecule: ribosomal RNA, 460 nt
Filed under: uncultured bacterium
Lineage: Bacteria
Description: partial 16S ribosomal RNA
Rfam family: Bacterial small subunit ribosomal RNA
Source: RNAcentral
CCUACGGGUGGCAGCAGUGAGGAAUAGUGGUCAAUGGGCGCGAGUCUGAACCAGCCAAGUCGCGUGAGGGAUGAAGGUUCUAUGGAUCGUAAACCUCUUUUAUAAGGGAAUAAAGUGUGGGACGUGUCCUAUUUUGUAUGUACCUUAUGAAUAAGGAUCGGCUAACUCCGUGCCAGCAGCCGCGGUAAUACGGAGGAUCCGAGCGUUAUCCGGAUUUAUUGGGUUUAAAGGGUGCGUAGGCGGCCUUUUAGGUCAGCGGUGAAAGUCUGUGGCUCAACCAUAGAAUUGCCGUUGAAAAUGGGGGGCUUGGGUAUGUUUGAGGCAGGCGGAAUGCGUGGUGUAGCGGUGAAAUGCUUAGAUAUCACGCAGAACCCCGAUUGCGAAGGCAGCCUACCAAGCCAUGACUGACGCUGAUGCACGAAAGCGUGGGGAUCAAACAGGAUUAGAUACCCCGGUAGUC